Physcomitrium patens is the source of this 1721-nucleotide non-coding RNA. The record is from RefSeq and is a predicted model, not a curated record. Lineage: Eukaryota; Viridiplantae; Streptophyta; Bryopsida; Funariales; Funariaceae.
UUGAUGAAUAUUGUUUUGUAAAUUACCAACCACAAAUUACGUAUAGACUUAGAGAUUUGCUCUAUGCUUGCUACGUGCCUAGUGGAGGAGGUGUCACGAUCACAUCCAAAUGUCGGUGGGUCGAAUUAAAUAUUACUCGUUUAUGAUAGUGUUUUCUGAUUCUUUACUUGAGCUACCUUAAACACCUUUGCCACCCUUGUACUACUCUCAUCACCCUCAGGCUAUCAAACUACACUAAUGCACCAAAAGAAUCGAAUGAACAUUUGUCACAAAUAUUAUUCAUCUUCAACUUCCAAGUUGGAAUAGUUUCGUGGUGGCCAACUUAAGCAUCCUCCAACCCAUUGUGUCACAUGGACGACCCCCACAUCUGCAAUCACUCACUCUGCAAAGGAGGAGAACCACAUAUCAUUGAGGGAUUGGGAGAAGCAACAAUGGAGGGAGGGAGGGAGGGAGGGAAAAUUAACGGAGGAGGAUGAGGCGAGAGGAGACGAAAGGAGGUGGAAGACAGCGUCGUCUGCGGCGAGGUCUGCUGCGGGAGCUUGGAGGCCACGACGCGUAGAAAGGAGGCGGGAGGUGUGGCAGUCAAGAGGGGCCAAAGGCGGCGCGGUGCUGCCAGCUCCGUUACCUGCCCUGUUGCCUGGACUAGACUGGACUGGGACUCUAGCUAGGCAGCCACAACACCCUCCAGCUUAGCCAGUCCAGCCCAGUCCAGCCCCAGCCCACCCGCGUCCAACAAUCACGCCGCCCGAGAAAGCUUCCAAACAUACAGUCACCCCCCUUCGGUUUUCCUCUGAAUCACUGAUCCGCUUCUAGACCCCUUAUUCUCCUCGCCCCCUCUGCACGUCUGCACACUCACAGGUCCCUACCCACUCUAGUGUUGUAGCCCAUAAAGGUGCCCCUCAUUACUGCAAGUACUUUUUGGCUCCAGGGAUCCUCGUCUUACAGUCUGUUUCGUUGAUUGUUGGGUUGCAGGGUUAGGCAUUCCUUUGUCACCCUACCAAUGCUACUUGGCUCCUUGGAGCUGUGGACUUGUACUCUCAAUCCAUCCAUGUGCACAAGAACUGUAAAAGCUUUGCGUGGGUUUUCGCCCUUUUUUUCUUUCUCGCUCUCUGUGUGUGCGUCUGCUUGCUUGGAAAUUGCUGCCACGGUUGCGGAGAUCUCUGAGCUGUGGGUCAAAACUUCGAGCCUGCCAGCGGCUCGUCCCUCAUCCCGCUUCCACUCCCGUUUAUCAUUCCCCAUCGCCCACGUAACUCCAUCCUCUUUGAAUUAGGAAGCAAUUUUACUACGACACACACGACUUGAUUACAAGGGCUGAGGUGCUGCUGAGGGGCUUGAUCCAGUGUGAGAUAAUUAUGGUGGAAACGGAAAAGCUGGAAGCUAAAAAGAAGAACGGAACAAACAGUUUCCUGUUUACUGUGGUUGACAGGGCACAGGACUGACUGGUACAAUGCUAGUAAGUCAGAAAUGUGGCAAAGCCUCUAUCUGUUGAGAUAGAGUGCACCAACUUUCAACUGCAAAAAACUCUGGAUGUAAUCAUAAUGAGCUAAGGGUUUUUGGCACUUUAGUUCUAUGGCAGUUAUGGCACCAAUGUGACCCAGAAUGAAACUUAGGUGCAUUGGCCUUAGUCUUGCAUCCAUGUUCUCUUCACGUGUUCUAAUUAGCUUUAUGGGAGCAGAUUCCCAUAAGUACCUGCAAACCCUUGUGGGAAUUUUCUAAUCCUG